This 321-nucleotide long non-coding RNA is filed under the name Calidris pugnax (ruff). RNAcentral's name for it is "lncRNA (ENSCPUG00000002764.1)". Lineage: Eukaryota; Metazoa; Chordata; Aves; Charadriiformes; Scolopacidae. The record is from RNAcentral.
GAUAUGCAGGGUUAACUACUGCGAUGUUGAAUCACCUGAAUAUAUGAGACCACUGCCAAGACAUUCAGUUUUUAAAGAAGUAAGCUGAAGAACCACACAGAAGAGCUCCAGGCUGGAGAGGACACUGAAUCCACCAUGCUUAAGCUUCCAAGGGCAAGAUUUAACAGCACAUCCUUGGGAUAAGGCAGCUCCCUAUUUCCUAUGUAGAAAUUACAGCUCUUUGAGUUUUGUAAUCUUUCCACGCGUUGACAGAAGCUGAACUGGGUUUGGAUUCCACUCUGGAAACCAAGCAAUAAAAAUUGAGGAGCUACAAGUCUGGCA